UGGCUCCGCCUAGUGUUUGGGUAUGA
Molecule: non-coding RNA, 26 nt
Filed under: Mus musculus (house mouse)
Lineage: Eukaryota; Metazoa; Chordata; Mammalia; Rodentia; Muridae
Source: RNAcentral